AUAGGGGAGCCGGAGGGAAACCGAGUCUUAACCGGGCGUUAAGUUGCAGGGUAUAGACCCGAAACCCGGUGAUCUAGCCAUGGGCAGGUUGAAGGUUGGGUAACACUAACUGGAGGACCGAACCGACUAAUGUUGAAAAAUUAGCGGAUGACCUGUGGCUGGGGGUGAAAGGCCAAUCAAACCGGGAGAUAGCUGGUUCUCCCCGAAAGCUAUUUAGGUAGCGCCUCGUGAACUCAUCUCCGGGGGUAGAGCACUGUUUCGGCUAGGGGGCCAUCCCGGCUUACCAACCCGAUGCAAACUGCGAAUACCGGAGAAUGUUAUCACGGGAGACACACGGCGGGUGCUAACGUCCGUCGUGAAGAGGGAAACAACCCAGACCGCCAGCUAAGGUCCCAAAGUCAUGGUUAAGUGGGAAACGAUGUGGGAAGGCCCAGACAGCCAGGAUGUUGGCUUAGAAGCAGCCAUCAUUUAAAGAAAGCGUAAUAGCUCACUGGUCGAGUCGGCCUGCGCGGAAGAUGUAACGGGGCUAAACCAUGCACCGAAGCUGCGGCAGCGACACUCAGGUGUUGUUGGGUAGGGGAGCGUUCUGUAAGCCUGCGAAGGUGGCCUGUGAGGGUUGCUGGAGGUAUCAGAAGUGCGAAUGCUGACAUAAGUAACGAUAAAGCGGGUGAAAAGCCCGCUCGCCGGAAGACCAAGGGUUCCUGUCCAACGUUAAUCGGGGCAGGGUGAGUCGACCCCUAAGGCGAGGCCGAAAGGCGUAGUCGAUGGGAAACGGGUUAAUAUUCCCGUACUUGGUGUUACUGCGAAGGGGGGACGGAGAAGGCUAUGUUGGCCGGGCGACGGUU
Molecule: ribosomal RNA, 845 nt
Filed under: Salmonella enterica
Lineage: Bacteria; Pseudomonadati; Pseudomonadota; Gammaproteobacteria; Enterobacterales; Enterobacteriaceae
Also listed under: 1 other name
Description: partial 23S ribosomal RNA
Rfam family: Bacterial large subunit ribosomal RNA
Source: RNAcentral